CGGUAACCCUCCCAAUCUAAUUUAUAAUGCUUUUAGAUUAUUUCACAACUGGACAUUUUUUGGUUUAUGGGCUCAAAGGCCACAUUCAUAUGGGCCGGACUUGUUAACUCUUUUUGCUUGGGCUCAAGUCAGGUGAUUGGCCCGUGAUAUCUAUGUCCCUGGGGCAGUAUAACAAAGCUAAUUCCCCCUCCCGGUUCCUCUCUGUCAUUUCACCAUAUCAAUAGUCUUCACCGGCGAAGGCAACUAUGGCGUCGGCGAUUGUGCGAUCUGGUGUCCAAUCAUUCGAAUGAUGUUCCAUCUCAGGUAAAAAGACAAGUAGGGAGACGAAAAACAAGCCAAUGGUUUGACAUCAAAUGUUAAGCACAAAUGCUUAUGCAAAUUUGCUAGAAUUUUUGUACCAACGCCGAGGCGCUAGGAAAGGCCCCUAUUACGCCUCGAACGACUUGAACUCCGUAGAAAUGCACGAGAUGAGGGCUCAAUAAUGAAGAAUUCGAGUCCGAAGAAAAAAAGAGAGAAAGAGGAGCUAGGUUGCUUUCGAGGAUGAUGAAUGGCUCACCAGGACUAUUUAGACGAUGGACGGCGAGUGAUCUCCACAACCAAGAGCCCCCGUCGCCUGCCUAGCGCCUUCUUGAACCUUGUUCGAACCUACGAGAUAAGCCCAAUCAUUCGAAUGAUGUUCCAUCUCGUGUAAAAAGACAAGAAGAGAGACGAAAAACGAGCCAAUGGUUUUCCCCUACAAUACUAACAAGAUUCCAAUAUUUUCUACUUGGCCACUCCACAACAACAGCAACAACAACACUAAUCAAUCAUUAAGGGCUUAAGAUAAUUAAUAAACCCCAUUAAUCAAACCUUUUUUGGACUAAUUCUGAUUCAGUCAUCACCUCCUCCCCCACAUUUCUUAAUCAUCUCCCUUUCUUCUUCUCUCUUCCUUCCAAGUUUUGAAGUCAAACCUGUAAAAUUUGAUCAUCCAUCUGCAAUCAUCAAAAAACACCAAAAAAACUUCAUUUGAAAAAGCUCUAGGCUUCAAUAAGAAAAAGCUUUAGGUUACCUCUCUACCAUUUAUUACUGCUGGUUUUUUUUUCAUGUAAGACCGGAAGUCAGCUUUGGUAGUAUCACACAGCUUUUGCUGAAGGUUUUGACCAAUUCAGUCCGGUGAAGUUUGGCAGAGUCGGAGCACGAGCCGAGUGCGGUCCGUCCAUUUAGAUGAACCGAUAGAGAAGAUGAUGGGGAUUGGAGGAAGCCAUAGCUGGAGGUUGAGGAGUGUUGACUCUUUGAUUCUUUGCCUGCUGAUCCUAUUUGUUCCAUCAGCUC
RNAcentral lists this long non-coding RNA (1311 nucleotides) under Linum usitatissimum (flax). Its description in RNAcentral is "long non-coding RNA (LUSI_LNC003718)". The record is from RNAcentral. Lineage: Eukaryota; Viridiplantae; Streptophyta; Magnoliopsida; Malpighiales; Linaceae.